GAUGAACGCUGGCGGCGUGCCUAAUACAUGCAAGUCGAGCGAACGGACGAGAAGCUUGCUUCUCUGAUGUUAGCGGCGGACGGGUGAGUAACACGUGGAUAACCUACCUAUAAGACUGGGAUAACUUCGGGAAACCGGAGCUAAUACCGGAUAAUAUUUUGAACCGCAUGGUUCAAAAGUGAAAGACGGUCUUGCUGUCACUUAUAGAUGGAUCCGCGCUGCAUUAGCUAGUUGGUAAGGUAACGGCUUACCAAGGCAACGAUGCAUAGCCGACCUGAGAGGGUGAUCGGCCACACUGGAACUGAGACACGGUCCAGACUCCUACGGGAGGCAGCAGUAGGGAAUCUUCCGCAAUGGGCGAAAGCCUGACGGAGCAACGCCGCGUGAGUGAUGAAGGUCUUCGGAUCGUAAAACUCUGUUAUUAGGGAAGAACAUAUGUGUAAGUAACUGUGCACAUCUUGACGGUACCUAAUCAGAAAGCCACGGCUAACUACGUGCCAGCAGCCGCGGUAAUACGUAGGUGGCAAGCGUUAUCCGGAAUUAUUGGGCGUAAAGCGCGCGUAGGCGGUUUUUUAAGUCUGAUGUGAAAGCCCACGGCUCAACCGUGGAGGGUCAUUGGAAACUGGAAAACUUGAGUGCAGAAGAGGAAAGUGGAAUUCCAUGUGUAGCGGUGAAAUGCGCAGAGAUAUGGAGGAACACCAGUGGCGAAGGCGACUUUCUGGUCUGUAACUGACGCUGAUGUGCGAAAGCGUGGGGAUCAUACAGGAUUAGAUACCCUGGUAGUCCACGCCGUAAACGAUGAGUGCUAAGUGUUAGGGGGUUUCCGCCCCUUAGUGCUGCAGCUAACGCAUUAAGCACUCCGCCUGGGGAGUACGACCGCAAGGUUGAAACUCAAAGGAAUUGACGGGGACCCGCACAAGCGGUGGAGCAUGUGGUUUAAUUCGAAGCAACGCGAAGAACCUUACCAAAUCUUGACAUCCUUUGACAACUCUAGAGAUAGAGCCUUCCCCUUCGGGGGGGCAAAGUGACAGGUGGUGCAUGGUUGUCGUCAGCUCGUGUCGUGAGAUGUUGGGUUAAGUCCCGCAACGAGCGCAACCCUUAAGCUUAGUUGCCAUCAUUAAGUUGGGCACUCUAAGUUGACUGCCGGUGACAAACCGGAGGAAGGUGGGGAUGACGUCAAAUCAUCAUGCCCCUUAUGAUUUGGGCUACACACGUGCUACAAUGGACAAUACAAAGGGCAGCGAAACCGCGAGGUCAAGCAAAUCCCAUAAAGUUGUUCUCAGUUCGGAUUGUAGUCUGCAACUCGACUAUAUGAAGCUGGAAUCGCUAGUAAUCGUAGAUCAGCAUGCUACGGUGAAUACGUUCCCGGGUCU
This 1373-nucleotide ribosomal RNA is filed under the name uncultured bacterium. RNAcentral describes it as "bacterial SSU rRNA". It matches the Rfam family "Bacterial small subunit ribosomal RNA", at positions 28 to 1381 of the family's 1533-position model. The record is from RNAcentral.